AAAUAAUUGGAUUACUGGGCAACAAAAUGGCAGAUGAAAUUCAGUGUUGAUAAAUGCAAAGUAAUGCACGUUGCAAAACUUAAUCCCAACUAUAGAUACAAAAUGAAGGGUCCAAAUUAGCUGUUAACAUUCAAGAAAAAGAUUUUGAAAUCAUUAUGACUACUUCUCUGAAAACAUCUGCUCAAUGUGCAGUGGCAGCC
This is a long non-coding RNA of Dermochelys coriacea (leatherback sea turtle), 200 nucleotides long. RefSeq lists it as uncharacterized. The transcript has 3 exons. The record is from RefSeq and is a predicted model, not a curated record. NCBI's taxonomy places the organism in Eukaryota, Metazoa, Chordata, Testudines, Dermochelyidae.